AUGGACGUCGCCGAGUCACCGGACCUCCAGGCGCAGCUGGCCGCGGCCGUGCACGCACUUAAUCACGCCUCGCAUCCCUCCGCACGUCUAGCCGCCAACCAGUGGCUCGUCGGCCUGCAGCGUUCGCCGCAGGCGUGGGCGCUGGCGGUCUCGCUCCUCGCGUCCGCGGAUCAUCCGUCCCCUUCCGCCGAUCUACUCUUCUUCGCCGCCCAGAUGCUUCGCCGGAAGAUCCAGUCACCCGACUACUCGCUCCCGGACAACGCCGCGCAGCUCCUCGACGCGCUCCUUGUCGCGGCCCGCCGUUUCUGCCUUGCCCCUCCCCGGCUGCUCACGCAGAUCUGCCUGGUCCUCGCGGCGCUAGCGCUCCGUGCGGAGGGAGGGGUAGACGGGCUUUUCGCUCGAAUGCCGCACCUACCCGACCCCGCCUUGCUGGAGCUGCUCACCGUGCUCCCCGAGGAGGUGGCGCAGGAUGAGAGCGGCGACACGGGGGUCGACUCCGCCACGCGGUGCAGGUUCACGCGUGAGCUGCUCACGCACGCGCCCGCCGUGCUUGAGUUCCUGCUAGCGCAGUCUGAGAAGCCGGCCGCCGCGGACGGGGUGCCCCUCCACGAGCGCAACCAUAGAAUCCUGCGAUGCCUACUGAGCUGGGUUCGCGCGGGAUGCUUCUCGGGAGCGCCGGUGUCCGCCCUCGUCGCACACCCACUUCUGACGUUUGCGUUCAACUCCCUGCAGGCGUUCUUCUCGUUUGAAGUGGCCAUAGAGGUUAUGACCGAACUUGUCAGCCAGUAUCAAGAAUUACCACAGGCAUUUCUAAGCAAGAUGCCAUACAUCAGAGAGGUUCUUCUUUUACCAGCUCUAGCCAACAGAAGUGAGAAGAUUAUUGCUGGUCUUACUAGUUUGAUGUGCGAAGUUGGUCAAGCAGCACCUGGUUUGGUUGCAGAAGGGAGUAAUGAAGCACUUUCUCUUUCAGAUGCACUUUUGAGAUGUGUAGCUUUUUCUAGUGAAGACUGGGAGAUCGCAGAAUCCACCUUGCAAUUUUGGUGCAGUUUGGCACAUUGUAUUCUUGGAAUCGAUGAGCAAACAUCCAAAAGGAAUGCCACACAAGAGUUGUUUCUCCCUGUUUUUUCUUCACUGCUAGAUGCUCUUCUUUUUCGUGCUCAGAUUAUUGAUAUCGAUGAGCAUUGCACUGGCCGAGCAUCUUCCAUACCUGAUGGACUAGUACAGUUCAGGCUGAACCUGGAGGAGCUUCUUGUUGAUAUUUGUUUGCUUCUAGGUGCUCCUGCAUACAUUAAUAAGCUUCUUUCUAGCGGAUGGGGACUGGCUAGCCAAUCAAUACCUUGGAAAGAGGUAGAAGUUAGAAUGUACGCACUUAGUAUGGUUGCUGACACAAUUUUACAAGAUGGAAGCCCCUUCGAUUUUUCAGUUGUAAUGCACUUCGUGAACAUUCUGUCCAGCAGAACACCUGCUGAACUGAAUGGAUGCCAGUUCUUGGUAUACAAAUCGUUUGGUGAUGUCAUUGGUUCUUAUUCAAAGUGGUUAUCAUCUUCCAAAAGUAAUAUUAAGCCAUUACUCCUAUUCUGCGCUUCAGGGAUUUCAAAAUCCAUAUCAUCAAACUCUUGCUCUGUAGCUUUACGUAAACUUUGUGAGGAUGCUUCGUCAUUCAUCCACGAGCCUCCGAUUCUAGACAUUCUUUUCUGGAUUAGUGAGGGUAUGGGCGAGGGGAACCUGCGGAUAGAGGAUGAGGAAGAGAUCAUUAGUGCAAUUACACAUGCUCUAUGUUCUAUUCUCGACAAAGAAUUGAGGAAAACUUCACUGGCCAGACUACUUUGUUCAAGCUACUCAGCAGUUGAAAAGAUUAUUGACAUAGACAGAGAUGAAUUGCUAAGGCAAAAUUCUUGUGCUUACGCACAAGCCUUGAACAUCGCAGUUCGUGGACUUCACAGAACGGGUGCAUUGUUCAGUCAUUUGGCGAUGUCAAUUACAUCUGGUCUAAUUGAUGAUGAUACGAUUUCGGUUCUUUUCGGUAUAUUCUGGCCACUCCUUGAAAAACUUUCGCAGUCAUCUCAUAUGGAGAACACUAGUUUAUCUACUGCUGCUUGUCGUUCUCUUUCUUCGGCCAUACAUUCUUGUGGACAACAUUUCCAAAUUUUAUUACCUAAAAUUCUUGAAUGCUUAUCUAUGAAUUUCUUGCUGUAUCAAAGGCAUGACUGCUUCUUAAGAACAGCUGCCAACAUGAUUGAAGAAUUUGGCCACAAGGAAGAAUACAGUGUUGUAUGUGUCAGAACUAUUGAAACGUUUAGCUCUGCAGCUUCACUAUCAAAUUUGAAUUCUUCUUACACAUGUGAUCAAGAACCCGAUCUAAUUGAAGCCUAUGCAAACUUCACAUCUGCAUUUAUCCGCUGCUGUCCAAAGGAAGCUAUUGUCGCAUCUCGCUCGCUGCUUGAGCUGUCAUUUCAAAAGGCAGCUAUAUGCUCUACAGCAAUGCACCGAGGAGCAGCACUUGCAGCAAUUUCAUAUAUGUCAUGUUUUUUUGAUGCUAGCCUUACUGAUGUGCUGGAAUCUCCAGAAUGCCCCUCUGAUGAAUCACGUGGUGCGGUGCUGGUUCAAAUUUUGGCACGCUGUGGUGAAGGUCUUAUGUCUCACGUAUUUUAUGCUCUACUUGGUGUAUCAGCCUUGUCAAGGGUACAUAAAUCUGCAACAAUGCUGCAGCAGUUGGCGGCAUUGUGUAGCCUCUGUGAGAGAACAAUGUGGAAGGGGAUACUUUGUUGGGAUUCCCUUUGUGGGUGGCUGCAGACAACGGUGAGUUCUUUGUCCUCACAGUACCUAAGGCAAGGGGAAGCCGAGAUGAUAAUUCCAUUAUGGCUCAAGGUGCUUCAGGAUGCCGCCUCGGACUAUCUUCACAGCAGGACUGGCGACAAUUGCAGAAACCAUCCUGGUUACAUGCAAGGAAAAGGUGGAAGAACCCUUAAACGCGUAAUUCGAGAUUUUGCAGAAAGCCAUCGAAAUGUUCCCACCCCCUAUAUUGAUAGCAGGUGGAGCUGCCAUCAACAGUUAAGUUAA
RNAcentral lists this ribosomal RNA (3060 nucleotides) under Triticum aestivum (bread wheat). RNAcentral's name for it is "partial small subunit ribosomal RNA". Lineage: Eukaryota; Viridiplantae; Streptophyta; Magnoliopsida; Poales; Poaceae. The record is from RNAcentral.